UGAAAUACAAUUUUCAGAUUCUGAGUUGC
RNAcentral lists this small RNA (29 nucleotides) under Bombyx mori (domestic silkworm). RNAcentral's name for it is "ovarian small RNA-30538". Lineage: Eukaryota; Metazoa; Arthropoda; Insecta; Lepidoptera; Bombycidae. The record is from RNAcentral.